AGUAAAAUGCCUGAAUAAAGGAUUAUCGUGAUAGGGUAAAUAAUGUAAUUUUAUUACUUUUACUA
This 65-nucleotide transfer RNA is filed under the name Ceratomantis saussurii. RNAcentral's name for it is "tRNA-Ile". Lineage: Eukaryota; Metazoa; Arthropoda; Insecta; Mantodea; Hymenopodidae. The record is from RNAcentral.